GGAGAGGUGUCCGAGCGGUUGAAGGAGCACGCCUGGAAAGCGUGUAUACGGUUUAUACCGUAUCGCGGGUUCGAAUCCCGCUCUCUCCGCCA
This 92-nucleotide transfer RNA is filed under the name Solimonas sp. K1W22B-7. RNAcentral describes it as "tRNA-Ser". It matches the Rfam family "tRNA". From Rfam's summary of the family: Transfer RNA (tRNA) molecules are approximately 80 nucleotides in length. Their secondary structure includes four short double-helical elements and three loops (D, anti-codon, and T loops). The record is from RNAcentral. Lineage: Bacteria; Pseudomonadati; Pseudomonadota; Gammaproteobacteria; Nevskiales; Nevskiaceae.